CGGCAGGCUUAACACAUGCAAGUCGAGGGGUAACGACAUCUUCGGAUGGGCGACGACCGGCGCACGGGUGCGUAACGCGUAUGCAACCUACCUUUAACUGGAGGAUAGCCCCGAGAAAUCGGGAUUAAUACUCCAUAGAAAUGAGAUUCGGCAUCGUUUUUCAUUUAAAGCUCCGGCGGUUAGAGAUGGGCAUGCGUGACAUUAGUUAGUUGGUGAGGUAACGGCUCACCAAGACUACGAUGUCUAGGGGUUCUGAGAGGAUGAUCCCCCACACUGGUACUGAGACACGGACCAGACUCCUACGGGAGGCAGCAGUGAGGAAUAUUGGUCAAUGGACGCAAGUCUGAACCAGCCAUGCCGCGUGCAGGAUGACGGCCCUAUGGGUUGUAAACUGCUUUUAUUAAGGAAUAAACCCCCGGACUUGUUCGGGGCUGAACGUACUUAAAGAAUAAGCAUCGGCUAACUCCGUGCCAGCAGCCGCGGUAAUACGGAGGAUGCAAGCGUUAUCCGGAUUCAUUGGGUUUAAAGGGUUCGCAGGCGGCGUAUUAAGUCAGUGGUGAAAUCCCUCGGCUCAACCGAGGAACUGCCAUUGAUACUGGUAUGCUAGAGUAUAGUUGGCGUAGGCGGAAUAUUUCAUGUAGCGGUGAAAUGCUUAGAUAUGAAAUAGAACACCGAUCGCGAAGGCAGCUUACGAAACUAUAACUGACGCUCAGGAACGAAAGCGUGGGGAGCGAACAGGAUUAGAUACCC
This 750-nucleotide ribosomal RNA is filed under the name uncultured bacterium. RNAcentral describes it as "bacterial SSU rRNA". It matches the Rfam family "Bacterial small subunit ribosomal RNA", at positions 40 to 787 of the family's 1533-position model. The record is from RNAcentral.